GCCCGGGUGGCGAAAUUGGUAGACGCACAAGACUUAAAAUCUUGCGGUAGCAAUACCGUGCCGGUUCGAUUCCGGCCCCGGGCACCA
RNAcentral lists this transfer RNA (87 nucleotides) under Gammaproteobacteria bacterium. Its description in RNAcentral is "tRNA-Leu". It matches the Rfam family "tRNA". Rfam says of the family: Transfer RNA (tRNA) molecules are approximately 80 nucleotides in length. Lineage: Bacteria; Pseudomonadati; Pseudomonadota; Gammaproteobacteria. The record is from RNAcentral. RNAcentral also lists the same sequence under 2 other names.